Molecule: long non-coding RNA, 475 nt
Organism: Musa acuminata AAA Group (dessert banana)
Lineage: Eukaryota; Viridiplantae; Streptophyta; Magnoliopsida; Zingiberales; Musaceae
Exons: 2
Source: RefSeq, a predicted model, not a curated record
GAUCCGUUCGAUCGGAGAACAACAUAACAUGGAGUGGAAUGACACGAUGAAUUUGAUGACAUCAGCAUGGUGGAGUAUGUUCCUCAAAAACAUGGAGGGUGACCUAUGUGAGAGCGAAGAAGUAGCUGACGAGGGGUUUCAUAUGUUUGAUGAGGUUUUUAAUUUGCCAUAUUGGUUGCAUAGUGAAGGGGAUGCUCCGCAGUCUUGCCUCUUCCAACAACAUAUGAAUAGCUACUACAAUGAAGAGGACUACUUGUAUGAUGCUGCCUUGCCAUGCUUUGACAUUGGAGAAAUUUAUGGUCAGGAUGGAGAUCGGGUUUAGGAUUCAGGAUUCAGCAUUCAGCGAGACUUAUCAUUUUUAAUAAAGAAUAAUUCAUCAUAAAUAUAAUAUUCUUCUCUUCCAUCUUUUGUAUUCCAAUAAAAAGCAUGCCAAAAUGUAAUGGCGAAAGGGAAAAUUAAAUACUUUGACUUGUCA